RNAcentral lists this ribosomal RNA (254 nucleotides) under uncultured bacterium. RNAcentral describes it as "partial 16S ribosomal RNA". It matches the Rfam family "Bacterial small subunit ribosomal RNA", at positions 524 to 777 of the family's 1533-position model. The record is from RNAcentral.
UACAGAGGUGGCAAGCGUUGUUCGGAAUUACUGGGCGUAAAGGGCGCGUAGGCGGCCCGUCAAGUCCCGUGUGAAAGCCCCCGGCUCAACCGGGGAACGGCGCGGGAAACUAGCAGGCUUGAGUUCGGGAGAGGGAAGCGGAAUUCCGGGUGUAGCGGUGAAAUGCGCAGAUAUCCGGAGGAACACCGGUGGCGAAGGCGGGUCUCUGGGCCGAUACUGACACUGAGGAGCGAAAGCGUGGGGAGCGAACAGGG